AGCACGUCUCGAUAGGUAGGAUUUUAUGACAGAACACCUGUCCCAAGCCCGGAUUAAUGGGGAGGGUUGGCGUCAAGAAAUAGAGACUAUCUUAACUGCAUCACUGAUGUCAAAAUGUGGGAAAUAUGUGGUUGUAUAAAUAAAUGCAUUAAAGUAGGUUAAUGAUUCUGUGCUGUCUAAAUUGUAUAAAAAGUUAGGCUACAUGACGUUUGAAUGGGCUAUACCCGGAUACAUGGACGCAUUAGGCCACUUAAAAUUAAUAAAUUGUUUUACAUGACUCAAACUUCUAAAAUAUUGGUGAGUCGGGGAUUUUAUAUUUUAUAUUUUAUAUUUUUAGCGAAAAGACGAUCGGCAACAGAGAUAUACUAAAACUAGAAAAUUAAACUUUAAUUUGUCAGUAUCUCAACAUUUUAAGCUCUCAACAGUUCAAACAAUUACAAGAAGAGAGAAACCUUCAAAACAAAUGCCUAGUCUAAGUGUUUAAUGGUCUUGCCACAGAAUAGCCCAAUAAAAGCGUCCUCCUGACAAUAGCAAAACAACUGCACUUCCAUUGUUUCAAACAAUAGAAGUGCUGUUGUUUGACCUCAAUGAGGGUCACUAUUAUUGGACCACCCUACAAGAGACUACUUGCUCACAGUGCACAGGAUAUCAGGAUUUGGCACAUUGACGAUCUCUGACAGUUUUUGUCAGUUUUAUAUAAAAUAUAAAAAAAAAUCGAGGCGGCACCAAAAAAUUGAGGCGGGCGGCCAUGUAAAACAAUUUAUUAAUUUUAAGUGGCCUUAUGAGAAUGAGAAAGACGGUGCGUGUACACUAAUUAACCUAUACCCUAUUGACUUAGACAAUACACUGUAAUUUUUGCAACAGAAAUGGAUGAGAUGGGCAGGCAGCUGGAGGUGGAAUUUUUGUCCUUGGUAAAACUCUGACGGUCUCCACACUGGUAACAACGUUGUUUUCUAGGCAUAGAAAAACAAAUCUCCUCCUGUCUGAAAAGGCGUAGAAAACGCAAUUUAGCCACUAAAACUUUACAGUUUUGUGAGGGACAGUCGAAGUCUCUCGUUAAGUUUUUUGUGUUCUUGCACCCCCACUUUAAAACUCGUUUCAGCGCCGCCGCAUAUACGUGUGCGUGUAUGUGCGUAUGUGCGUGUAUGUGUGCGUAUGUGCGUGUAUGUGGCCCGAUUGGUGUUUUGCCCUCAGGCCUUGCAUGCAGUUGUUCCACCGCUGUCUUCCACCAUAACCGAAACGGUGACGUACAUUGGUUUUUGUUGCUAUACUGCGGUUAAUAUUUAGUUUUUUCUAGUAUUACCACACUCUGCUAGGCCGAUGGUGAGUCAAUGCAACGUAAUUUUGCUCUGAUGUGCACUAACCGGUGUAUGUUCUGAAUGGCAAUAAAGUCGAUAUUAUCUUCUAUUCUAUUCUAUUUUAUUCUAUUUAUCAUAUAUGUAAAAAAAAGUUUCUUUUGUGCAUGUCCCAUACCCUACUGUAAAACACAUCAGAAAAUUGACAUAUAACAUGAUAAUUUAAGAAAGCCUUGGUGUGCUUCCUUGUGCAUGCGUACACACACACACACACACACACACACACUGGAACUCCAGUCAGUCAUCGCCGCUAAUUCUGUGAGAAACACUGGGUAUAAAUUAAGAGUGCCCCCCCCCCCACCAACCCGCUGCUGCAGCCUGUUACAUUUUAUUGGCUAAGUAAUGUUGCGAAACUUGUUUUUCAAUUCACAAUUAAAUUAACACUAUAACACAUGUAAAUCACAAAAUUAUUAUUCUAUUUAAAGUUAGGGCAAGCUGUAUAUUUUGUAAUUAUUACAUUUUACUAGGACUGAAACGUGAACUGUUACUGUGUUGCAUGUAUUUUUGUAGUUUCAAAUUACUUCUAUUUAAUUAAAUAAUUUUUUUGCACCAGUAUUUUGAUUUUGUUACAUUUGGUGAGCAAGUAGUUGUAACAAGAUUUUUUGAUGUAUUCUUUCUCUGGCCAUUGAUGAUGGUGGUGAUGAUGAAAGUGACCCUGCUUCAGAAUAACCCAUCAGUUAAAACUGUGUAACAGUUGUGUUAUAAUGUGUAUAAAUGACUUCAUAAAAUACAUACAUUGCUGUUAAUACAAAUGCACUCGUUACCCUGAUUAUCUUGUGCACCCAAGAUAAUUAUAUUGUUCACACAAGGUAAUAACAUAACAUAUUUAAAUAUCUUGUGCAAACAAGGUAAUCAGGGUAUUGAGUACACUGGAAAUGACUGUCAUUGUUCACUUAUGUUUAGCCCGGGAAUACCUUAAAUCCAACAAGUUAUCCAGCUAAAUAAAAAAUCCUGCUUUGUGAUACAGGCCCCUGUAUAUGCUCAAUGACCUUUCAACUGUCUAUCAUUUGUCUCUCACUGCACCAUUUGCAUACUGUCUACCACUGUAUUCUGCAUAUAGUGCUAUUCUGUACACUGUCUUUGUAUAAUUUAUCUUCUGGUUAUACUUUUUAAAAUCCUACCCCCCCCCCCCAUCCAUUUAAUUUAUCUAUAAUCUCAUUUGUGUACAGUGGCAGGAGUAAGCCAGACUUUCAUUUCACUGCAAGUUGUACCAGUUUUUUUGUGCAUGUGACAAGGUCUUUGAAUAUUGUCAUGACAUGUACUGGUGCAGAGAGCAGGAAUCCCAGGAGACAGGAUACAAGGGCAAAUGUUGAAGUUUAAUCAAGUAACCAAAACAAGACCAAAGCACGGGGCACAUACCUUAACAGAAAACAGAAAACAAAGCUCAUGCAGAUCAAAGGGUGGAGCAGAUUGGGCCUCAAGAGCAAUGAGGAUGUUUUCAUUCCAAUCCACACUGCUUUCAACCUGCCACAUUCAUUAUUAGCCAGAGGACCAUCCAGGCCCGAUUUAGGUAGGGUUGGAAUGAAAACAUUCUGGCAGGGGGGGGGAACCAGGAACAGGAUUGAGAACCACUGCCCUUGACAGUGUGCACACUCACAGACUCUGAGGCUUUUUCCUGCCAGUUCCAUGAGGUCUUAGGGCUGUCCCACUGUUAAAUUGUCAAGUGUAUGAAGGCUCUCACAGAUAUUUUGAGCCCUUUAUGCACAUGUUCUAUAAGAAUUUGCCUUUUUGAUGUAUUUGUGCCCAUCUCUAGCCUCUGAUGGGGGUGCACAUGUUGUACACUUCUUAAGUUCGUCUAAUCCUUUAUUGCCAAAGCUGCAAUCGAGUCAGCACUUAGCGUGGAUGCCCGCGUCCGAACACGGGUGCGUUCAGUGUAAGCCGAAUGCUACGCGCUAUCGGAGUCCUGCUAUUCACCGAUUGCCACCUAGUGGUGGGAGUAAAGUAUGUGCACUAAAAGUUACAGUAGUCAGUAGAUUAAAACACUCAAAAUUCAAUGAAAGAGGUGAUCAUCACUUUUAUAUGUUCAAGUGCAUAGUGUGGAGGAUAUCAUAAGGCCUUGGGGCAAUCAGAUGUAAAACACAAUAUUUAUGAGUGUUUUAAGUUGUAAAUCGGUCAGAUUUUACCCGAACACGACAGAAAGGUUAAGUAAAUUAACUUGCGUAGCCUAACAUGACAAAUAAAAUAUUUUGAAGGAGCUGAGAUGCCCGUUUCUCACCCAGAUCCCUACACACAAACAUACAGAAUUGCAAUUUUACCAAAAUUCUUCAGUUUUCUGUGGUAGCCUAUCUAUGUUUUCAGCCUCUAACAGAAAAAAAGGAAUGCAAAUAAAAAUUUAAAACAUAGAGUGACUGAGUGUUGUUUAAAGUUUGGCUUUUGUGGAGGUUAAGGGGUGGUUAUAAAAAGGAGAAGGAGGUUUGGGUAGCAUUAAGGAAACAGCAGAGAUACGCAGAUACAGAUGCGAGGGCAAAACGCAGCAGUGCCCCCCUCCCCCUCACUAAAGGUCAUUAUAAUAACUCCACCCCGUUUUUUGGCGUGAGGCUAAACCACUUUUUCCUCAUUUCAACAGCAGCGGAUGAUAUAUAAAUAGAACAUCAGUAAGGCGUUUAUAACUGAAACUUAGAAGUAAAAUAGCUGGAUGGUUAACUGCUUGUCAGCUGAUAUUUCUUUACCUGCAAAAUAUAAUCGGACAAUAUGAAACGGACACGUUUAUAUGUUUAUGUAGUAGUCUGUAGCCCAGAAGUAGAAGACGCGUCUGAUAUUUGCUAAGCAAAAAGCACGAGAAAAACUUGAGGUGUGGAUAGGAUGAGCCACAAGAAUGACAAAGGCAAGAAUCAUACAUUUGUGUUUGGGUUUAUCUGUUUGUUGUUCGACCAUCCAAAGUUUGAAUGUGACACUAGUUAAUCCUGGGGAGAACAUUAGCAUCGGCUGUGGCAAUGAUACGGAACAAGUUUAUUGGUACCUGCAGCGCUCAGGACGUCCACCGGCGCCGAUACUGCGCUCAUUCGGCAGUGCUGCACCUAGUCCGUAUUACUAUGAUACUGGAUCGCAGAGCAAGUAUGACUUACAAGCCGGCAACAAACUGUUUAUACAUAAUUUUACAACAGAAGAUUGUGCAACAUAUUACUGUGCGGAGCUUCGCGAUGGUGUCUUCAGAUUCUUUAACGGAACCAGACUGAAUGUCACAGGUAAGAUUUUUCUACUUUAUACCGUAAUUAGUUCUUUGGCGAUACUGUAUUCUGAAUAAAAUAAAUAGGUCUAGUCUCAAAGGUUCAAAUAACAGUGUUUUGUUACUGAUGUUCUUAUGAUGUUUUCAUUAAAUUAAUUAAAUUUUAUGAAACCAGCGUGGAACUAAACAGAAAUCUAUAAUUAAAUCUGCAAUUUGCUUAAUAGUUGUUUUUUCCAGACAUGGUCACUGGACAUCAAAAUGUUACUCCUGACACCCAAGUGGAGCAGCGAUGUGGAAUUUUUCGUAAUUCAGUGAUUAUUGCUGCCGUCGUUUUAAAUUUCACGUUGAUCGUUAUAAUCCUAGGUAGGCUUAGGCCAGAGGUAAACGACGUUAUAGUAAUAUCUCUAAAAGCAACAUUUACAUACAUUUUCCAGGAAUCUUUAACAUUUAACAAGAUAAAAAUAUUUCACAGAUAUAAACGAACUUAUAAAUAGACUAUGGAAGUAAAUCAGACCACAAAACUGGCCAGGAGAAGCGAUUGAAAGAUGGAUGGACGAUGACUAAAGAAACCGCGUCUAUUUAUUUCAGUUUUGACAAAGAAACUCUGCACUGCUCUUAACGGCAAACUUUUCCAGAAAGUGGAAGCACGUGAGGAAGAUACAACGUACUGUGUAAUGCAGGUUUUCAAAGAACAGAAUGCAUCAAGCCGUGAAAUAACUGCAUAUGGCGAAGUUCGUCGUCCAAGCGCGUGAGCUGGCCUGCACUGCUUUAAAAGCCUUCUUUGGGCUAUUUCUAUCACUUUGUACAAAUUAUAACUGAGAAUGCAAAACAAAUUCCCAGUGAAAAUGCAUAUUUAACAAAUAAAGAUAAGUUUAGCAGUCUGUUGGAUUUCAUUUCACGAACUAGAGUACUUGAAGUCAAACACAGGAACAGCAGUUUCACUAACCAACAAUAUUUUAUUUUGGUCUGAGCUCAUGUGGUGACUCAGGAACGUUCCGUGGCCAGUGUCUCUUUACUCUGGCUUUAUUUAUUUAAGUUCUUUCCUUCCAUUUUCCUGUUUGUAUCAGUCUCUCAAAUGAUGUUCAAUGUAUCACAACACAUCCAUGUAAAGUGCAUUGGGACGACUCUGUUGUGAAAGGCGCUAUAUAAAAUUGAAUUGAAUUGUGCAGGAGCUAUUCAGUGUUUGGCAGAUACUACCUGGUCAUCUAUACCACCCUUGAGAAAGUCAGUCCCUACAGUCCCUCUGCUCCAUCUUCAUUCUCCAGUCGCACUGUCCUCCUUGUGACACCAUCUUCGUAGAGUCCAGCGCAGCCCUUCUGCAUAAAUACGGAGUGGGACUAUCAACCCACAUUUUGUUUUUGUGCCCUGGAUUCUGUUGUAAAUAACCUUGCUCAUUAUGUUUUCUUGUAUCUCUGUUUGGACCCUUGUUUUGCACCUUCGUUAUCCCUGAUCCAGUUUUGUAGUACGUUCUGUUCCCACAUUCUAGUAUCUCCUUGUGCUUGUCCCCUUAUUAUUUGUUUAUUACCCUCACCUGUUCAUCAUUGCCCCUACUCUCUUGUGUUUGUGGUUGGUUAGUAAUAGCCCGCACUUGUCCCUUGUUUAAGCCCUCAUUACCUCUGUAUUUAAGUGUCUGCCCUUCCCCUAUGCAUCUGUCAGUCAUUGUGUUUUGUUCCUGUGUGGUCUUUGUUGAGCUUUUAUGUGUUGCAUUGCAGUUUUUCUGAAUGUGUAUGUUUCCCUUGAGUUCUUGUUUUCUUUACUGCCGUUGUUUUGACCCUUCAUGGUUUACUUUUGUCUGUGAGUUCAUUUUAAAAUAAACUCUCCUUUCAGCAUAAGCCGCAGUGUGGAUCGUCCACCUAUCAUGCCCCGUCACCAUAAAAAUAUUUCUGUUUUUGUGUUCCGGUACGGUGGAACAGAAAUGUCAGCGAGCAUUUACACCAAACUUCUCGUUCCUGUUUCAUUAGCAUGUUACAAUCUAAAAAGGCAGUUUCAGGGUUUGGGUAAUAAAAGAUAUACGACAACAGCACAAAAUGCAUGUUUUGUGUAGAUCCCUGCAAGAGUGCUGGAAAGAGUGAUACGGAAUGCUGUGGAUCCGUGUUUUCUUCAUUCCCUGUUAUUUUAUUUUCACUCUUCUGUCUUAAUGGUUUAUAAUCUUGCCUUUUGAACUGUUGAUGAAUCACACAGAUAGAUUUGAAAUAAAGAAAAAUAAAGCA
This is a long non-coding RNA of Paramormyrops kingsleyae, 6731 nucleotides long. RefSeq lists it as uncharacterized. The record is from RefSeq and is a predicted model, not a curated record. NCBI's taxonomy places the organism in Eukaryota, Metazoa, Chordata, Actinopteri, Osteoglossiformes, Mormyridae.